AUGUUCUGCUCCUUGCGGCGGUUGCCGGCGCACACGAGCGUGACGGGGAACUCGACGGCCUGGAACCCCGUGACGAGCUCCUCCAUGGUGAGCUUGACGGGGCGCUUGACGAGGCCGGUGACCUCGACGGUCCAGGUGGACCAGUCGGCCCUGGGCACGGCGCCGUGGUUGCGCACGUAG
This 180-nucleotide ribosomal RNA is filed under the name Triticum aestivum (bread wheat). RNAcentral's name for it is "partial small subunit ribosomal RNA". Lineage: Eukaryota; Viridiplantae; Streptophyta; Magnoliopsida; Poales; Poaceae. The record is from RNAcentral.